Molecule: small nuclear RNA, 23 nt
Filed under: Arabidopsis thaliana (thale cress)
Lineage: Eukaryota; Viridiplantae; Streptophyta; Magnoliopsida; Brassicales; Brassicaceae
Description: snRNA_11518
Source: RNAcentral
ACUUGUUCAAGCAUUGUUUUCGA